This 877-nucleotide long non-coding RNA is filed under the name Triticum aestivum (bread wheat). RNAcentral's name for it is "long non-coding RNA (TAES_LNC008387)". The record is from RNAcentral. Lineage: Eukaryota; Viridiplantae; Streptophyta; Magnoliopsida; Poales; Poaceae.
CCCACCACCUCCGAGCCGCCCGCUCCCAGCCGCCUGUUUCUUUUUCCCCAAUCUCCCCAUCAUGUUCUCUGUAGGUGGACGCAGCACCGCGCCAAGGCAGCAGCAACUCGGUGACGUUCCAGGCUACCCCCUCUCCGUCCGGUGGUGCCAUGCUAAGCCACAGAGCGAGCCGCAUCUGCUCGGUCUUACUCUCUAGGCGCAUGGUGGAGUUGCAACGCGGUGGCCGUGGGGAUGCGCCGAGCCACCGCCGGGGGGCUGCACCGUGUUGAGACGCCGCCACCCCUUCAUGGCCGCGGACUCCGCGUCCAUUGCCCACGCCGUCCUCACCGAUGGCUUCUCCGUCGACAUCGGCAUGGUGUGCGCCGCUUGCCCCACCAGGUCCCCCUCUUUCCCUUUUGCAUUUGAUUUUAUCUUUCCUUUUAUUUUUAUUUUGAAGGUAGUCUACGAGCAGGCAACGACGGUUAUGGCAUCCUCAUCGGUGGAGACGGUCAGCUGCUCAGGAGCAUGGGUCGAGGCGAGAUGGUGGCAGAUGUGGUGUCUCCCUCCGAUGGCGUCCGCGGGAAUGGCCGGAUCUGUGUCUAGAAAGGCAUGGGAACGACCCCGGUUGUCGUCCGGCGAGCGCUGGAGAGGGAGUAGCAUAGGUGUUAUCCGUGAUUUGUUUUUAAUUUGAAGUUUUUUGUGUUUUGCUACUGGACAGGUGUAUUGUAUGGAAAAAAUCUAUAAUUUUAAAUUUCAUGUGGUGUUUUAUUCCUUUUGUGUAAAAUGUUAUUUGUGGUGUAUUUGUAGAAUUCCCUUUUAUGCAGUGGCAUGAGCGUAUCAAAAUUUCCAUGAACCAAAGAAAUGAGGGGUAGGCUAAUCUACCAGACUUAAAUUACUG